RNAcentral lists this ribosomal RNA (1211 nucleotides) under metagenome. RNAcentral's name for it is "bacterial SSU rRNA". It matches the Rfam family "Bacterial small subunit ribosomal RNA", at positions 297 to 1498 of the family's 1533-position model. The record is from RNAcentral.
AGGGUGUACGGCCACAUUGGGUCUGAGACACGGCCCAGACUCCUACGGGAGGCAGCAGCUAAGAAUAUUCCGCAAUGGGAGAUAUCCUGACGGAGCGACGCCGCGUGGACGAAGAAGGCAGAAAUGUUGUAAAGUCCUUUUAUACGGGAAGAAUAAGGCUAUCGAGAGAAACUUUAGCCGAUGACGGUACCGUAUGAAUAAGCCACGGCUAACUACGUGCCAGCAGCCGCGGUAAUACGUAGGUGGCAAGCGUUGUUCGGAAUUAUUGGGCGUAAAGGGCAUGUAGGCGGUUAGAUAAGUGUGGAUUGAAAGACCAUGGCUUAACCAUGAGUUUGGUCUGCAAACUGUCUGGCUAGAGUGCAGUAGGGGUAACUGGAAUUCCGCGUGUAGGGGUGAAAUCUGUAGAUAUGCGGAAGAAUACUUGUGGCGAAGGCGAGUUACUGGACUGCUACUGACGCUGAAAUGCGAAAGUGUGGGGAGCAAACAGGAUUAGAUACCCUGGUAGUCCACACUGUAAACGUUGUACACUAGGUGUCAAGGGUAUCGACCCCUUUGGUGCCGAAGCUAACGCGAUAAGUGUACCGCCUGAGGAGUAUGCUCGCAAGGGUGAAACUCAAAGGAAUUGACGGGGGCCCGCACAAGCGGUGGAGUAUGUGGUUUAAUUCGAUAUACGCGAAAAACCUUACCAGGGUUUGACAUACACAUGACAGAUUCAGAGAUGAGUCCUUUUCUUCGGAAACAUGUGUACAGGUGCUGCAUGGCUGUCGUCAGCUCGUGUUGUGAGAUGUUGGGUUAAGUCCCGCAACGAGCGCAACCCUUACUGUUAGUUGCCAUCAGGUAAUGCUGGGAACUCUAACGGAACUGCCGGUGACAAACCGGAGGAAGGUGGGGAUGGCGUCAAGUCCUCAUGGCCCUUAUGUCCUGGGCUACACACGUACUACAAUGGGCUGUACAGAGGGUCGCAAUCUCGCAAGAGGGAGCCAAUCCCAAAAAGCAGUCCGUAGUUCAGAUUGGAGUCUGCAACUCGACUCCAUGAAGUCGGAAUCGCUAGUAAUCGCAGAUCAGCAUGCUGUGGUGAAUACGUUCCCGGGCCUUGUACACACCGCCCGUCACACCACCCGAGUUGAGGACACCCAAAGUUAUUACCCUAACCGUAAGGAGGGGGGUACCUAAGGUGUGCUUAGUGAGGGGGGUGAAGUCGAAACAAGGUA